UAGGGAAUCUUCGGCAAUGGACGAAAGUCUGACCGAGCAACGCCGCGUGAGUGAAGAAGGUUUUCGGAUCGUAAAACUCUGUUGUUAGAGAAGAACAAGGACGUUAGUAACUGAACGUCCCCUGACGGUAUCUAACCAGAAAGCCACGGCUAACUACGUGCCAGCAGCCGCGGUAAUACGUAGGUGGCAAGCGUUGUCCGGAUUUUUUGGGCGUAAAGCGAGCGCAGGCGGUUUCUUAAGUCUGAUGUGAAAGCCCCCGGCUCAACCGGGGAGGGUCAUUGGAAACUGAGAGACUUGAGUGCAGAAGAGGAGAGUGGAAUUCCAUGUGUAGCGAUGAAAUGCGUAGAUAUAUGGAAGAACACCGGUGGCGAAGGCGGCUCUCUGGUCUGUAACUGACGCUGGGGCUCGAAAGCGUGGGGAGCAAACAGG
RNAcentral lists this ribosomal RNA (429 nucleotides) under Gemmatimonadota bacterium. RNAcentral describes it as "Gemmatimonadetes bacterium partial 16S ribosomal RNA". It matches the Rfam family "Bacterial small subunit ribosomal RNA", at positions 355 to 776 of the family's 1533-position model. Lineage: Bacteria; Pseudomonadati; Gemmatimonadota. The record is from RNAcentral.